UGGGGAAUUUUGGACAAUGGGCGAAAGCCUGAUCCAGCCAUGCCGCGUGCAGGAUGAAGGCCUUCGGGUUGUAAACUGCUUUUGUACGGAACGAAACGGCCUUUUCUAAUAAAGAGGGCUAAUGACGGUACCGUAAGAAUAAGCACCGGCUAACUACGUGCCAGCAGCCGCGGUAAUACGUAGGGUGCAAGCGUUAAUCGGAAUUACUGGGCGUAAAGCGUGCGCAGGCGGUAAUGUAAGACAGUUGUGAAA
RNAcentral lists this ribosomal RNA (252 nucleotides) under uncultured Variovorax sp. RNAcentral's name for it is "partial 16S ribosomal RNA". It matches the Rfam family "Bacterial small subunit ribosomal RNA", at positions 355 to 599 of the family's 1533-position model. Lineage: Bacteria; Pseudomonadati; Pseudomonadota; Betaproteobacteria; Burkholderiales; Comamonadaceae. The record is from RNAcentral.